AUGUAUUACCCAGCCCUCGUGGUACACUCUGUUCCAGGAAAGCAUGGUAGCAAUGCUCAUCAUCCCAUCCUUGAUGGAAGCACCGAGGGAAAUAUCUCCCAGCAUGAGACCUGCACUGGAAAUACUCACAUAAAGCCAGGUCCUCAAGAAAAUGGAGAGAAGAUUGGACCUUUCAGUGCCUCACACCUGAGCCAGACCCCAGUAAGAGUCACCCAGCAAAAGGUUCUGCCCUUUCUGCUACCUUUUCUAUGCUUUCUAUGGCUAAUUUCUGCUCAAAGUGAGAGGCACAACUUCUCUUGCUCGAGGAGAGCCCUUCCCCUCCUCAUGGGCAGUGCUGGGUCCAGCUCUGGGGUCCCCAGUGCAGGAAGGACACGGAGACCUUGGAGUGAGUCCACCAAGGAGGACCAAAGGGAUGGAGCACCUCUCCCACAAGAAAAGGCUGAGAGAAUUGGGAUUGUUCAGCCUGGAGAAGAGAAGGCUCCAGGGAGAGCUCAGGGCCCCUUGCAGGGCCUAAAGGGGCUCCAGGAGAGCUGGAGAGGGACUGGGGACAAGAGCCUGAGAUGACAGGACAAGGAGGAAUGGCUUCCCAGUGCCAGAGGGCAGGGAUGGAUGGGACAUUGGGAAGGAACUCCUGGCUGGGAGGGUGGUGAGCCCCUGGCACAGGGUGCCCAGAGAAGCUGUGGCUGCCCCUGGAUCCCUGGAAGUGUCCAAAGCCAGGCUGGACAGGGCUUGGAGCAGCCUGGGAUAACAGAAGGUGUCCCUGCCCUGGUAGGGGGUUGGAAUAAAAUGGGCUUGAUGGUCUCUUCUAAGCUCCA
RNAcentral lists this long non-coding RNA (815 nucleotides) under Cyanistes caeruleus (blue tit). RNAcentral describes it as "lncRNA (ENSCCEG00000002827.1)". The record is from RNAcentral. Lineage: Eukaryota; Metazoa; Chordata; Aves; Passeriformes; Paridae.